AGCGAACGCUGGCGGCAGGCUUAACACAUGCAAGUCGAGCGGACACUUUCGGGUUUCAGCGGCGGACGGGUGAGUAACGCGUGGGAACGUGCCCUCUUGUUCUGCAUAUCUCAGGGAAACUUGAUCUACUACCGGAUCCUCCCUCUUGGGGAAAGGCUGGCUGCCGGAGGAUCGGCCCGCAUCUUCUUAGCUAGUUGGUUAGGUACCUGCUCUCCCAGGCGAAGAUGCGUAGCUGGUCUGAGCGGAUGAUCCGCCACCAUGGGACUGAGACACGGCCCCGAAUCGGACGGGAGGCAGCAGAGGGGAAUAUUGGAGAAGGGGCGCAAGCCUAGUACAGCCACGCCGGGUGAGAGAUGAAGGGGGUAGGGUUGUAAAGUUCUUUUAGACGGGACGAUAAUGACGGUACCGGAGGAAGAAGCACCGGCUAACUACGUG
RNAcentral lists this ribosomal RNA (435 nucleotides) under uncultured bacterium. Its description in RNAcentral is "partial 16S ribosomal RNA". It matches the Rfam family "Bacterial small subunit ribosomal RNA", at positions 29 to 507 of the family's 1533-position model. The record is from RNAcentral.